Molecule: ribosomal RNA, 302 nt
Filed under: uncultured bacterium
Lineage: Bacteria
Description: partial 16S ribosomal RNA
Rfam family: Bacterial small subunit ribosomal RNA
Source: RNAcentral
GCAGUAGCCACGGGAAUACGGAGGGUGCAAGCGUUAAUCGGAAUUACUGGGCGUAAAGCGCACGCAGGCGGUCUGACAAGUCAGAUGUGAAAUCCCCGGGCUUAACCUGGGAACUGCAUUUGAAACUGUCAGGCUGGAGUCUUGUAGAGGGGGGUGGAAUUCCAGGUGUAGCGGUGAAAUGCGUAGAGAUCUGGAGGAAUACCGGUGGCGAAGGCGGCCCCCUGGACAAAGACUGACGCUCAGGUGCGAAAGCGUGGGGAGCAAACAGGAUUAGAUACCCCGGUAGUCCCUGUCUCUUAUAA